Molecule: long non-coding RNA, 659 nt
Organism: Rosa rugosa (rugosa rose)
Lineage: Eukaryota; Viridiplantae; Streptophyta; Magnoliopsida; Rosales; Rosaceae
Exons: 3
Source: RefSeq, a predicted model, not a curated record
CUUAAUAGCUCAGAUGCAAGGAUCAAGCUAACCAUCUAUAAAACUUGAAAGGCUGAAAGGUUGGUGGGGAUUUGGGUGGAGUUUGCUUAGCCUACGUUACCAAGUUUUGAUUGGGAUUCUGGAAGCACACAGUGUCUUGGGUUGUUACGUCAACGUGGAUGGGAGUUACAGAUUCAAGGUUUGUAUGCUUACCUCUUUGUUAUAAGUUUAAUGUUUUGUUUACAUGUUUGCAUAUGUAUACACAAGAGGAGCAGAAGUUGAUUACUAAGUGAAGCAGCCAUGUAGAUUUUAUAUCUUGAAGUGUGCUUUCAGUAAAACAAUUGAUCUACUGAAGAAUCAGGUGGGAUCCAAGUAUUCUGUUGGAUAGUGCAACUUUGUUGUUGGUUGGGAAUUCCAGCUUGUUUAUAUCACUACAGUGUUGUAUUAUAUCACUAUGAAUAUCCUUGUUUGAAUCUUAUAGACUAUGAAAGUAUUACCCGUCCCCAUUGUAAACUUCUGAAGCAUGACAAACUUAUUAAUGCAUGGAAGUUUUGCAUUAGAUUUAGUGAUUUCAGUUUUUUAUUGUUCUUCCUCUCAUGGAAGUUUUGCUGGUGGAACUUUAUGUUCUUUGUAUAAUUCAUUUUUAUGGAAAUCACUAACUAUAUAUUUUUUUACCUCUG